RNAcentral lists this ribosomal RNA (253 nucleotides) under uncultured bacterium. RNAcentral's name for it is "partial 16S ribosomal RNA". It matches the Rfam family "Bacterial small subunit ribosomal RNA", at positions 524 to 776 of the family's 1533-position model. The record is from RNAcentral.
UACAGAGGGGGCAAGCGUUGUUCGGAAUUACUGGGCGUAAAGGGCGCGUAGGCGGCCCGCUAAGUCGAACGUGAAAUCCCCGGGCUCAACCCGGGAACUGCGUCCGAUACUGGUGGGCUUGAAUCCGGGAGAGGGAUGCGGAAUUCCAGGUGUAGCGGUGAAAUGCUUAGAUAUGACAUAGAACACCUAUUGCGAAGGCAGCAGGCUACACAUAUAUUGACGCUGAGGCACGAAAGCGUGGGGAUCAAACAGG